UUUUGGUAAUAACAGGCAGUGCGUAAGAGGAAUAAAUUCAGUUGUGCAUCUAUGAAAACAUCUCAUACAGCCAUUGGCGGCGCUGGGUAUGCCCACGUAUUCAGCUCAUGUAACAGCCCAUCCAACCCAAUUCUUUGUCGCUCUCGCUAGAAGCUGUCUCGCGGUCUCGCAGCCUCGCACGAACACAAACGGCACACACGGGCGACGACAACUCUAGGCGAUCUAACGCGGAGCAGAUCAGGCGAGCGGCGGCAACCGGCCGGAAGCUGCGGAGCAGCGGCGAGCGGCAGCGAAUAAGGAUGCAUCAUGGCAUCGUGUAAGGGACCACCAUGGCGCGACAUCAACGGCCAUGACCCAAGAUCCCAGAUCAAUGGUUGAGACUUGGAGAAGAUAUUGAAGCUUUUUCUAACGAUGGAAUGAAGAUGCAAAAUAUGAAGAAUUGGUUUGAGAAAUAUCCAAGGGCGGUUAAUUUGGAGCCACCAUGAUUGGUGUUUUUGCAUAGUCACCAUGAUAUUGAGUAUUUCUAGUACUAUAAUAGGUUAGCUUAAUAUAUUGGGAAAUGCAGUGUUUUUCUUGAAUAUGUAUCGUCUCUAUGUUCAUUGUUACGAAUGCAAUGAAAUGACAUGAAACAUGUUGGUUUAUAUCUA
Long non-coding RNA from Lolium perenne, 647 nucleotides. RefSeq lists it as uncharacterized. The record is from RefSeq and is a predicted model, not a curated record. Lineage: Eukaryota; Viridiplantae; Streptophyta; Magnoliopsida; Poales; Poaceae.